CCACUCUUCAGUGGAACACCAGGAUCUCACUAGGGACCUUGCUGAUGUGCUGAUGCAUGCUUUGAGGACAUACAGCACUCUCCUACAAGUGGUGAUUCGAGAUGUCCUAAGUGGCUCCCUGAUGUGUCAUGGUGAGGUGAUAUUCCAGCCCUCUGCUCCCUCCAGCAUGGAUGUCCUUAAAACUCUUGUUGAUUCAGUUGGUCCAAAUGAUGCCUUGGCUGGGUCACACUUCCAGG
This 236-nucleotide long non-coding RNA is filed under the name Crocodylus porosus (Australian saltwater crocodile). RNAcentral describes it as "lncRNA (ENSCPRG00005006714.1)". Lineage: Eukaryota; Metazoa; Chordata; Crocodylia; Crocodylidae. The record is from RNAcentral.